AGCAUGUGGUUAAUUCGAUGCAACGCGAAGAACUUACCUGGGCUUGACAUCCCGGGAAUCCCCUGGAAACAGGGGAGUGCCCUUGGGAACCCGGUGACAGGUGCUGCAUGGCUGUCGUCAGCUCGUGUCGUGAGAUGUUGGGUUAAGUCCCAUAACGAGCGCAACCCUUAUCGUUAGUUGCCAUCUGGUAAUGCAGGGGACUCUAGCGAAACUGCCACCGUAAGGUGAGAGGAAGGUGGGAUGACGUCAAAUCAGCACGGCCCUUAUGUCCAGGGCUACACACGUGUUACAAUGGUCGGUACAGAGGGCAGCUACCUGGUGACAGGAUGCUAAUCUCGAAAACCGGUCUCAGUUCGGAUCGAAGUCUGCAACUCGACUUCGUGAAGCUGGAUUCGCUAGUAAUCGCGCAUCAGCUAUGGCGCGGUGAAUACGUUCCCGGGCCUU
This 444-nucleotide ribosomal RNA is filed under the name uncultured Sphingobacteriales bacterium. RNAcentral's name for it is "bacterial SSU rRNA". It matches the Rfam family "Bacterial small subunit ribosomal RNA", at positions 936 to 1382 of the family's 1533-position model. Lineage: Bacteria; Pseudomonadati; Bacteroidota; Sphingobacteriia; Sphingobacteriales. The record is from RNAcentral.